UUCAGCCCAGGGUGCAUGGCUCCACUUUUUCCUGUGUAGACACCUCUCCUUCAUACUCCAUUCCUACAUCUGUUCACAGAUUAAAGCCUGGAGACUUUAAGGUCAUUGGAGCUUUAGGAGACUCACUUACAGCGGCCAAUGGUGGUGGCUCUUCUAUUAAUGACGUGCUUGAUGUGCUGACUCAGUAUCGAGGUCUUUCCUGGAGCAUUGGCGGCAAUGAAGACGUUUCUA
Molecule: long non-coding RNA, 231 nt
Organism: Bombina bombina (fire-bellied toad)
Lineage: Eukaryota; Metazoa; Chordata; Amphibia; Anura; Bombinatoridae
Exons: 4
Source: RefSeq, a predicted model, not a curated record